UCUUCCGUAGUAUAGUGGUCAGUAUAUGAGCUUGUCAUUGGUUGUCCUGAGUCAAUCAGGUACAAAUAACUUCGCUCGGGACCUGGGUUCAAUUCCCGGCGGGAGAG
Molecule: non-coding RNA, 107 nt
Organism: Cercophora scortea
Lineage: Eukaryota; Fungi; Ascomycota; Sordariomycetes; Sordariales; Lasiosphaeriaceae
Source: the annotation of a GenBank genome assembly